Molecule: ribosomal RNA, 301 nt
Filed under: uncultured bacterium
Lineage: Bacteria
Description: partial 16S ribosomal RNA
Rfam family: Bacterial small subunit ribosomal RNA
Source: RNAcentral
CAGCAGCCACGGUAAUACGGAGGGUGCAAGCGUUAAUCGGAAUUACUGGGCGUAAAGCGUGCGUAGGCGGUUCGUUAAGUCUGUUGUGAAAGCCCCGGGCUCAACCUGGGAAUGGCAAUGGAUACUGGCGAGCUAGAGUGUGUCAGAGGAUGGUGGAAUUCCCGGUGUAGCGGUGAAAUGCGUAGGGACCGGGAGGAACAUCAGUGGCGAAGGCGGCCAUCUGGGACAACACUGACGCUGAGGCACGAAAGCGUGGGGAGCAAACAGGAUUAGAUACCCCUGUAGUCCCUGUCUCUUAUAA